Molecule: ribosomal RNA, 1409 nt
Filed under: Limosilactobacillus panis
Lineage: Bacteria; Bacillati; Bacillota; Bacilli; Lactobacillales; Lactobacillaceae
Description: Lactobacillus panis 16S ribosomal RNA
Rfam family: Bacterial small subunit ribosomal RNA
Source: RNAcentral
GAGCGGCGGACGGGUGAGUAACACGUGGGCAACCUGCCCCAAAGCGGGGGAUAACAUUUGGAAACAGGUGCUAAUACCGCAUAACUCCGAAAAUCACAUGGUUUUCGGAUAAAAGAUGGUUUCGGCUAUCACUUUGGGAUGGGCCCGCGGUGCAUUAGCUAGUUGGUAAGGUAACGGCUUACCAAGGCGAUGAUGCAUAGCCGAGUUGAGAGACUGAUCGGCCACAAUGGAACUGAGACACGGUCCAUACUCCUACGGGAGGCAGCAGUAGGGAAUCUUCCACAAUGGGCGCAAGCCUGAUGGAGCAACACCGCGUGAGUGAAGAAGGGUUUCGGCUCGUAAAACUCUGUUGUUGAAGAAGAACGUGCGUGAGAGUAACUGUUCACGCAGUGACGGUAUUCAACCAGAAAGUCACGGCUAACUACGUGCCAGCAGCCGCGGUAAUACGUAGGUGGCAAGCGUUAUCCGGAUUUAUUGGGCGUAAAGCGAGCGCAGGCGGUUGCUUAGGUCUGAUGUGAAAGCCUUCGGCUUAACCGAAGAAGUGCAUCGGAAACCGGGCAACUUGAGUGCAGAAGAGACAGUGGAACUCCAUGUGUAGCGGUGGAAUGCGUAGAUAUAUGGAAGAACACCAGUGGCGAAGCGGCUGUCUGGUCUGCAACUGACGCUGAGGCUCGAAAGCAUGGGUAGCGAACAGGAUAGAUACCCUGGUAGUCCAUGCCGUAACGAUGAGUGCUAGGUGUUGGAAGGGUUCCCGCCCUUCAGUGCCGAAGCUAACGCAUUAAGCACUCCCGCCUGGGGAGUACGACCGCAAGGUUGAAACUCAAAGGAAUUGACGGGGGCCCGCACAAGCGGUGGGCAUGUGGUUUAAUUCGAAGCUACGCGAAGAACCUUACCAGGUCUUGACAUCUUGCGCUAACCUAAGAGAUUAGGCGUUCCCUUCGGGGACGCAAUGACAGGUGGUGCAUGGUCGUCGUCAGCUCGUGUCGUGAGAUGUUGGGUUAAGUCCCGCAACGAGCGCAACCCUUGUUACUAGUUGCCAGCAUUAAGUUGGGCACUCUAGUGAGACUGCCGGUGACAAACCGGAGGAAGGUGGGGACGACGUCAGAUCAUCAUGCCCCAUAUGACCUGGGCUACACACGUGCUACAAUGGCCGGUACAACGAGCAGCUAACCCGCGAGGGUGUGCAAAUCUCUUAAAGCCGGUCUCAGUUCGGACUGCAGUCUGCAACUCGACUGCACGAAGUCGGAAUCGCUAGUAAUCGCGGAUCAGCAUGCCGCGGUGAAUACGUUCCCGGGCCUUGUACACACCGCCCGUCACACCAUGGAAGUUUGCAAUGCCCAAAGUCAGUGGCCUAACCAUUUUGGAGGGAGCUGCCUAAGGCAGGGCAGAUGACUGGGGUGAAGUCGUAA